GAAAUAUUGGUAAAAAUAUUUUCUCAGAUACAAAGACUAAUAUUCUUUUACCACUCCUAGAUUUUUAAUAUAUACUUAAAAUAAUAAUAUAGAGCAUAUUAAUUAUGUCAUGAUAUGCAUCUUUGGCCACAGUAGGUUACAUGGUUUAGAGUAUUUUUUUUCAAUUAAAUAGUUUUUACUUAUUUUAAUAUGUACAUGUAUCAGUUAAAACUUUUGAGCAACUUCCCACGUGUGUUUAUAUAUAGCAAUUCUCUAUUGACAAUGUAUAUACAUCAUAAAACAAAAAAGUUCAGUGGCUGUGACAUAUCUACCAUUUCCUUGCAUGAACUAUUUGGGGUCCUGUCCAAGGGCACCCCCUCUCUGCAUAAAUUCCAGUCCCCCUCACAUAUUCUGAGCAUUGUCCUAGCACUUGCCCUUCUUCUUGUGACACUAAUUUUCCCUCUCCUGGAUCAUUUCCAUAGAUUAUUGUUUUCUCUUAAAAAAAAAAAUCCACCUUUACCUGUCUCAGCUUCUGCCCCUCAAAGAGUUUCCUGCUUCUGUUGCAGUUGAAUUCCCUCUCCAAUCCCACCACUGCAGAUGAAAGCUCUUGUGACAAGGUCACAGUGAGCUCUGUGUUACUAAGUCUGCUUUUUCUUAUUGUUCAUCCUGGUAGCUGUUCAGCAGUGUUUUUGGCACAGCUGGUCACACCCUUCUUCCUUGGCUUCCAGGGUGUAUACUUGUGGUUUCCCACUUGGUACAUUGGCUGUCCUUCUCAGCUUCUCAUCUACUUGACCUCUGAACCAGAGAAGGUCAUGAGAAGGCCCUGCGUAUCUCCUCUCCAUCUUCUUUCAUCCCUACUGUGAUCCUUUCCUGUCUCAUAGCUUAAAUACCAUCUCUAAGGAUGAUUUCUAGAAUUUGCUUUAGAUUAAUCCUAGGAGAAAAAUAAGAUUGACCAUGAGUUAGUCGUUGUUGAAGCUGAGUGAUGGGUACCUGGGAUUUGCUAUACUGUUCUCUUUAGUUUUACGUAUGUUGAAAAUUUUUCCUAGUGGAAAGUUAAGUCUGUGCUGGUGAUCCCCAAUUAUUUUUCACCAGCUCAGACUCUCUCCUGAAUUGAUCCUGCAUCUGCCUAGUUAACAUUUAACUGUUGGUGUUAAUAGAUGGGUAGCACCGAGCUUGUCCAAAAUGGAACUUCUGAUUUUCCUGCUCAGAUAUGUUCUUUCUACAGUCUCCCUAACCUAGUUAUGGGAAUGCUGUCCUUCCAGUAUCUCAUCCCAAACACCUUUGCUUGACUUCUCUUUCCAGUCAUCCUUCAUCACAUCCUUCACAAAUCUUGUUGACUCCAUCUGCAAAGUGUAUUUAGAAUCUGAUCUAUCAGAACUGCUUCCACUGCUGCUACUCUGGUUCAGACCGAUGUCAUCUCUCAUCUGCUUCUCCUUUCCCUCUUACAGGUUGGAUUUCCCACAGCAGCCAGAAUGAUCCCAUGAAACAAAAGUCGUAUCAUGCCCUGCUGUACUCAAAACCCACAGUGGCUUCCUCACUCAGUAAAAGCCAUGGUCAUUACUGUGGUCGGUCGGACUCUAUAGGUCAUGUUAGCAUUGUCCAAAGGAAAUAUGAGCUACAUAGGAGAGCCACAUUGGUAAUUUAAAUUUUUCUUGUAAAGGACAAAUGAAAGAAAAGUGAAACUGUUAAAAUUAAUUUUAAUAAUGCAUUUUAUUGAACCUAGCAUGUCAAAAAUAUUUUCGGUUCUGAGAUCCCUUACACUGUUUUACAGCUUGUACUAAAGUCACACUCAGAAUAUCCCAGUUUAUACCAGCUGUGUUUCAGGUGCUCAGCAGCCUCACUUGGCUAGUGACUGUCAUUUUGGACAAACCCAGAUCUGUAAAAUCUGGCCCUCCUUUGCCUCUGUGUCCUUAUCUCCUCUGCUCUUCCGUUGCACUUUGCUUCAGUAUCAUGGGCCUCCUUGUUCUUCCUCAUAGAAACUCAGCAUUUAUUGUUUUAGGACCUUUACAUCUCCAGGUGCUCCACUUGUCUUUGCUCAGGUGGUACCUUUCCAGUGGGCGUAUCUUCACCCCGACAUUUUCUAGCACUUCCUGCAUCCCUUCAUACAGUGAUUGUUCUCCAUCGCCAUUUAACAUACUAUAUUAAUUUCUAUUAGUAUAUUUUAUCUCUCUUCACACUGAAGUAUGAGCUCCCUGAGAAUGAUGAUUUUUGUAACUUUUGUCCUUUGCUGUAUUCCAGAGCAUAGAAUAGUGCCAGGCACAUAUGACAGAGGAUAGAGAUUUGUUAAAAAAUGAAAUGAAAUGAAUUAUUAAGAAUUAUUGGGCUGGGGAUGUGGCUCAAGCAGUAGCAAGCUCUCCUGGCAUGCGCGGGGUGCUGGGUUCGAUCCUCAGCACCAUAUAAAAAUAAAAUAAAAAAGAUGUUGUGUCCACCGAAAACUAAAAAGUAAAUAUUAAAAAAUUCUCUCUUUCUCUCUCUCUCUCUUUAAAAAAAUAAAAAAGAAUUAUUAGUAACAAAAGCUGUGCAUGGUGGUGCAUGCCUAUAAUCCCAGCAGCUCAGGAGGCUGAGGCAGGAGGAAUGUGAGUUCAAAGCCAUCCUCAGCAACUUAGCAAGGCCUUAAGCAACUUGGUGCUGGGGAUGUGGCUCAGUGGUUAAGUACCCCUGGGUUCAAUCCCGG
This 2653-nucleotide long non-coding RNA is filed under the name Marmota monax (woodchuck). Lineage: Eukaryota; Metazoa; Chordata; Mammalia; Rodentia; Sciuridae. The record is from RNAcentral.